RNAcentral lists this ribosomal RNA (539 nucleotides) under Skermanella stibiiresistens SB22. RNAcentral's name for it is "bacterial SSU rRNA". It matches the Rfam family "Bacterial small subunit ribosomal RNA", at positions 1 to 528 of the family's 1533-position model. The record is from RNAcentral. Lineage: Bacteria; Pseudomonadati; Pseudomonadota; Alphaproteobacteria; Rhodospirillales; Azospirillaceae.
UUAAUUGAAGAGUUUGAUCAUGGCUCAGAUUGAACGCUGGCGGCAGGCUUAACACAUGCAAGUCGAGCGGUAGCACAAGGGAGCUUGCUCCCUGGGUGACGAGCGGCGGACGGGUGAGUAAUGUCUGGGAAACUGCCUGAUGGAGGGGGAUAACUACUGGAAACGGUAGCUAAUACCGCAUAACGUCGCAAGACCAAAGAGGGGGACCUUCGGGCCUCUUGCCAUCAGAUGUGCCCAGAUGGGAUUAGCUAGUAGGUGGGGUAAUGGCUCACCUAGGCGACGAUCCCUAGCUGGUCUGAGAGGAUGACCAGCCACACUGGAACUGAGACACGGUCCAGACUCCUACGGGAGGCAGCAGUGGGGAAUAUUGCACAAUGGGCGCAAGCCUGAUGCAGCCAUGCCGCGUGUGUGAAGAAGGCCUUCGGGUUGUAAAGCACUUUCAGCGAGGAGGAAGGUGGUGAGCUUAAUACGCUCAUCAAUUGACGUUACUCGCAGAAGAAGCACCGGCUAACUCCGUGCCAGCAGCCGCGGUAAUACGG